AUGGUUCCUUGCCUGCUCCCUUCCUCCUGGGCGUUCUGUUCCUCACGGUAUUUAGCCUUGCCACCUCCGAUUUGUCCAUGUGCAGGUUUAUGCUUUCUGUUCUGCAUUCCCUUUCCACGAGUUCUUGCCUUCAACGCUGAGCUGAAAUGGCUCUUCCCAUACUUGUCUGUAAGCUAUUUGAUGAAAUGCGGUACUUUUUCUUCAGUUUUAUUCCUAUUGCCGAGUCUUACUCCUCUUGUUGAUCUUGCCUGCUUUUCUCGUCGGUCUCGCAUUUGUAGCUCAGGUGAAUGGCCUCUCGACUAA
This 303-nucleotide ribosomal RNA is filed under the name Triticum aestivum (bread wheat). Its description in RNAcentral is "partial small subunit ribosomal RNA". The record is from RNAcentral. Lineage: Eukaryota; Viridiplantae; Streptophyta; Magnoliopsida; Poales; Poaceae.